Molecule: unclassified non-coding RNA, 520 nt
Filed under: uncultured Glomus
Lineage: Eukaryota; Fungi; Glomeromycota; Glomeromycetes; Glomerales; Glomeraceae
Description: SSU rRNA
Rfam family: Eukaryotic small subunit ribosomal RNA
Source: RNAcentral
AGCAGCCGCGGUAAUUCCAGUUCCAAUAGCGUAUAUUAAAGUUGUUGCAGUUAAAAAGCUCGUAGUUGAAUUUCGGGAUCAAUAUGUUGGUCGUGCCUCGGUACGUACUAGCUUAUUGGUUUCUCCUUUCUGAAGAACCAUGAUGUCAUUUAUUUGGUGUCGUGGGGAAUCAGGACUGUUACUUUGAAAAAUUAGAGUGUUUAAAGCAGGCUCACGCUUGAAUACAUUAGCAUGGAAUAAUGAAAUAGGACGUUUGAUUCUAUUUUGUUGGUUUCUAGGAUCGACGUAAUGAUUAAUAGGGAUAGUUGGGGGCAUUAGUAUUCAAUUGUCAGAGGUGAAAUUCUUGGAUUUAUUGAAGACUAACUACUGCGAAAGCAUUUGCCAAGGAUGUUUUCAUUAAUCAAGAACGAAAGUUAGGGGAUCGAAGACGAUCAGAUACCGUCGUAGUCUUAACCAUAAACUAUGCCGACUAGGGAUCGGAUGAUGUUAAUUUUUAAUGUACUCAUUCGGCGCCUUACGG